AGACAUAAAAGGAAGCUCAGUUGCUUCGGGAUGACACCCCCUACCUUUUAUCGCAUUCCAAUUGCUUGUGGACACUUGCAAUCGGCCUCCCGCGGCACCCGGCACCCGGUUUGGCCCGAUCUCUCGCGCGACCACCCGAACGGCCUCCAAUUCACGAUCCAAAAAUUAAAGGUCUUCGGUUAUGUGCCACGAUGCUUCAAAUCCGUUUUCAUGAGUAUACGAUGUCGCCUCGGCCCUCCAGGCGGAAACGAAGCCUAAACGACCGUUUCUUUAAUAACUUUACAACGGCUCGACGAAUCGCCGAACCGACUUCGCCAACGCGUUCGUUUACCUUGCAAUUAGGUUUACGAAGGGUCAAAUUAGAUCAAACCCCACCUAAUUUGUAAACCCCCAUUUUCACACCCUAGUCUCAACAUAUGCUCCAAACAAUCAAAUAUUAAGGAUUUAACAAGCUAACUUCACAUUAGAGGCUAUUAGAACACUUAAACUUAAGGAUUAAGCCAAAUCCCGAUAGUUUACCAAAAUAUGAACGCCGAGACGGAAGCACGCCACUCCAACGGGCGCACGAAAACUCGAUCCGUCGCUCCCAACGCGUUCGUAAGCUCGCUCUCCGCCAACGCCGCGAAUUUGGGCGAGAAAUAUAGAGAGAUGAGAGAGAUAUUUAGAGAGAGAAAGGAGGGUUUCUCUCCCUUUUUCAUGCGUGCGUGUGUGUCGCCAUGGUGGCGGUGGUCGGUUGAAGGAGAAGAAGCUAAUGCUUCUAAUUAAAGUCAACACCAACACUAUUCAUUCCAGGCAACUUAAAAUCUGAUAUCUUUCGCCGGAGCUCCCAGAGUAUCCGUUUGAGCUCAAAUUUGACAGUCAUGUUCGGUUUAACGUACUGAACAAGAAUAUAUCUUAACUUUUCAGUUUCGACCCCGUUUGGUCACCGAAAACUGUGCCGAACUGCAAU
This 949-nucleotide long non-coding RNA is filed under the name Ananas comosus (pineapple). RNAcentral describes it as "long non-coding RNA (ACOM_LNC041830)". The record is from RNAcentral. Lineage: Eukaryota; Viridiplantae; Streptophyta; Magnoliopsida; Poales; Bromeliaceae.